This 434-nucleotide ribosomal RNA is filed under the name uncultured bacterium. RNAcentral describes it as "partial 16S ribosomal RNA". It matches the Rfam family "Bacterial small subunit ribosomal RNA", at positions 29 to 507 of the family's 1533-position model. The record is from RNAcentral.
AGCGAACGCUGGCGGCAGGCCUAACACAUGCAAGUCGAACGAACCUUUCGGGGCUAGUGGCGGACGGGUGCGUAACACGUGGGAACGUGCCUUUAGGUUCGGAAUAACUCAGGGAAACUUGUGCUAAUACCGAAUGAGCUCUUCGGGGGAAAGAUUAAUCGCCUUUAGAGCGGCCCGCGUCUGAUUAGCUAGUUGGUUGAGGUAAUGGCUCACCAAGGCGACGAUCAGUAGCUGGUCUGAGAGGAUGAUCAGCCACAUUGGGACUGAGACACGGCCCAAACUCCUACGGGAGGCAGCAGUGGGGAAUCUUGCGCAAUGGGCGAAAGCCUGACGCAGCCAUGCCGCGUGAAUGAUGAAGGUCUUAGGAUUGUAAAGUUCUUUCACCGGGGACGAUAAUGACGGUACCCGGAGAAGAAGCCCCGGCUAACUUCGUG